UACCUGAGAUGGGGAUAACGUAGCGAAAGUUACGCUAAUACCGCAUACGAUCUAAGGAUGAAAGUGGGGGAUCGCAAGACCUCAUGCUCGUGGAGCGGCCGAUAUCUGAUUAGCUAGUUGGUAGGGUAAAAGCCUACCAAGGCAUCGAUCAGUAGCUGGUCUGAGAGGACGACCAGCCACACUGGAACUGAGACACGGUCCAGACUCCUACGGGAGGCAGCAGUGGGGAAUUUUGGACAAUGGGCGAAAGCCUGAUCCAGCAAUGCCGCGUGAGUGAAGAAGGCCUUCGGGUUGUAAAGCUCUUUUGUCAGGGAAGAAACGGUGAGAGCUAAUAUCUCUUGCUAAUGACGGUACCUGAAGAAUAAGCACCGGCU
Molecule: ribosomal RNA, 374 nt
Filed under: grassland soil bacterium TSA-20
Lineage: Bacteria
Description: bacterial SSU rRNA
Rfam family: Bacterial small subunit ribosomal RNA
Source: RNAcentral